Macaca mulatta (Rhesus monkey) is the source of this 4059-nucleotide long non-coding RNA. The record is from Ensembl. Lineage: Eukaryota; Metazoa; Chordata; Mammalia; Primates; Cercopithecidae.
AUGAUGCAUUAUGUCUUUGAGACACUCUUCUUGGUUCCUAAUACGUUCACUGACAGAUUUUUGCUGGAAUCACCCAGGCCACAAACUAACCUUCUGUCCUUCAUGUUCAGCCUAUGCUCAAGAUCAAAAAUCUCAGAGAUUCAACUUGAUAUCAGUGUUGCAGUGUGUGAAGAACGUACGAAAUCCCCGAACAAUUUUUGCCAAGGUUUUGGGAAAACGUGGUCUCUUCUUGAUAGCGUUUCAAAGCAGGAACUUUGGAAUCCUUGGCUUCUGGCCACCCGUAUAACUAUCUCAUGGAGAGGUCCUUGCCAAGAGAUGGAAAACAGAGUCCUGGUAAUGCUAAUUGUCUCCCUAGAUAGAGUUGUACCAGAAGUCAAACUAAACUCAGAUUUUUGCAUGCAUAAGCCAAUUGUUUGUCUGUUUUUCUUUAUUAUUUGAUUCUGCAUUCUAUCACUGUUAAAUAAAUUUUUUCCUGAAUAUCACAUAUAUAUUAGUAACAAACUCUAAAAUAUUAUUUGCUCCAAGACUUUAGAAAUAGAUAAUGAGGUAGAUCUUUUCCUAACACAUUUUAAGAUGAACAAUGAAGACUGUUUUCACCUUUGCUUUAUGGUGUGGAGGUAAAAAAUAAGGAAAUUCUCAUUUAUUUUAUUUUUGGAAGAAAGAUAGAGUAUGGAAUACCUCUGAGUUCGAAGGUUUACUUUACAUAUUUGGAUAUCUCCUAGAUUUUUUCCAUUCCUCCCAUUGUUUUUCCAAAGCCCAAACUUUUUAUAGGAACUUAAAGUAGGUUAUUUGAGGGGAGAAAAGUUGCUUUAAAUUAUUCCCUGUUGAUUUCAGAUGCUUAACACAGAUUCUAGAAAGUCUUACUUUCUCCCAAGGAAUAACUAAUACCCUGUGGUAUUAGGCAGGCUCUUUACACAGUAACAUCAUGAUCAUUUUUAGCAAAAGGAAAUGGUCUGUGAUUAUUGAGCUAUUAUUUCCCAUGAGUCCUCAAAAAGAUGGACUAGGGAAAGCUAAUCAGUAGUUUUGUCAGUUUCUUACUAUUAGUGUGAUCAUCUGAUGUGUUGGAAUGUACAGAUUGCCUAUGGGGAGAAGAGUGUCAUUUCUCUUUGGAAAAAUAACCUGCCUAACUUAUCUUUAUAGAACCUCAGGAAGUCUUUAUUAACUUACAAUUUUUAAUCAUUAAUACAGGCUUAGAUAAGUAGGUUGUAUCGGCAAAUAGGAUUUCAAUUUAUCUAAGACCAUAGUCACAAUAUUCAUGAUUUUUGUUUGUGGAAGUGAGUCUUAAAUAUCUUUGAGAAAACUAAAGUGAUAAUGAGAUAUUUUGGAGGUUCAUCUUAAAAUUUUAGAAGAAUACAAUAAUAGUAAUUUGUUCGGAUUUCUGGUCUGUGAUGUAAGAAGCUUGCAAAUUGUCACUCUAUCUCAAGUAAAAAGCUGAGGAAACUGAAAAAUCAACAACUCUUCUUAUUUUCAAAGGACACAAGCGGUUUGGAGGCAAACCACUGUCCCCCCAAAUUGGAGAGACUGACAUAAAUACAGAGAAAUAAAAUUUACAUGAGUAGACACUCACCAGCUGAAACCUCUGUGGAAACCAGUGCAAGGGUGGAGAAACCUGAACUGUAAUUGAUGAACUGCUAGAGGUCCAGUAAGCACAAGUUUGAAAGUUAAAAAUUCCAUAGUAACACAGUCAUGGAGGUUGAGUUCACAUACUCAUAAAUUUUACCUCCAAGAAUUCUACCAGAUCCUCAUAGUGAAUACGGAAAAAAACAAUCACCUCAUGCUGUCCACACACUCGUAAAUUUUACCUCCAAGAAUUCUACCAGGUCCUCAUGGUGAAUAUUGAAAAAAAUCAGCUCUUUCUUCCCAGCAGGAAGAGGGGAAAAGGAACCAUUUUGAAAUACUCCAGAGCAUUCUGUUUUCUGUAAUAAAGCUUGCACAAGGAGGGACUAUUUAAUAAGAGCUUAACCUGCUGGAGUUUUCUCAGAGCCUAACUUACCCGGAGAAAUGAGGAGACCCAACUUCAUCAAGCUCUAGUCUUCCAUGUGGAGGAAGGGAAAGACCAACUUCAGCCAAGUCGAACUAUCCUGUCCCAAGAAGGGGAGAAAAGGGGAAUAAAGAAGCACAUGUGAAUUUCACAGCUGAGAAGCACAGGCUCACUAUAAAACUGAGACCUAGUCAAAGACUAUACAACCCAUUCCUGCCACCUACACCUUACCACCACAUUACUAAAGACCUACUAAUAAACUUAAUUUUUACCCAGUACAUCAUUUCUGACCAUCAGGGAAAAAAAUUACAAGGCAUACUAAAAGACAAAAAAAUACAGUUUGAAGAGAUAGACCAAGCAUCAGAACCAGACUCAUAUAUGUCAGGGAUGUUGGAAUUAUCAGACUGGCAAUUUAAAACAAUUUUGAUUAAUAUGCUGAGGUUAUUGUUAUGGUUUCUUUCUAAUUUGAUCUUAAAGUCUCACUCUUGAGAGUGCUCAUAAGGCAAAAUAUUCACUUUCCAGAGGAAAGUAAGUUUUGGAUGUGUUGGUGAGGUGAGACACAAUGAAGAAGUGAAACAGAAAUGCUUGCAACAGAAAAAAAAAGAUUACAGAUUCCUGAGAGGUUAGAAGUUCCAUCCAAAGGGAAAAGGAACGCUGGAGGUGACAAGGAGUUCAACCAGCAGGUGGGAAGUGAGAAAGAAAUAGAACCUGUAAGUCUAUGCCUUUAUUUAUAGGCAUGUGGGUUUAUGGACAUCCCUUAGGCUUCGUCAUGGGAUAUGUAGAUUGCUUAGUUUAAAGAAACACAUGUGAAGGAAUGGACCUAUUUACAAGACUCUGGUGUCAACCAUUAUGUUUGACCAUGGUCAGCAGCUAUGAAGUGUGUUGAGUUUUGGAUCUGCUAGAUAAGAAACAAGUGGACUAUAUUAUCCACAACCACUAAGUGAGGGGAAGUUUUAACUAAUUCAAAGGUGAAAAACUAUGACUGGGUUUCAGAAAAAUUAAUGUCAGGCUUAAAAAUGGAUGGUAAGGCAGCAAAUAUAUCAUACAAAUUUAUAAGAAAAGAGCUCUAACGGAUAAAGUAGGCAGCUUUCACAAACAGGAAAAAAAGUAAAGAGAUGAACCUUUUAAGAAAGAACAACAAAAAGGCUGGAGAUAAAAAAUGUUAUAACAGAAACAGAGAUGCCUUUGACAGGCUUGUAAGUAGAUGACACAGGGAUGAGGAAUCUCUGAACCUGAGGAUACCUCAGUAGAAACAUCCAAAAGUUUAAAAGGAAACAGGAAAACAAAAAGGCAGGAAAAAUAAAACAGAAUAAAACAGACCACAAUAUCUAAGAACUGUGGGAUAGUCGCAUAAGGUAUAACCUAACUCUAAAGGAAAUAGCAGGAGAAGAAGAAAGUAAGAAAUAAACAGAAGAAAUACUUCAAACAAUAAUGACUGAGAAUUUUUCCAAUUUAAUGUCAAAUGCCAAACCACAGACCCAGGAAGCUCAGAGAACGCAAAACAGGAUAAAUGUCAAUAAAACUACACCUAUACAUAUCAUUUUCAAACUACAAAAAAUAAAUAAAUAAAUAAAUAAUAAAAUAAAUAAUUUUUUUUUCAAUUCUGAAAAAGCCAGAGGAAAGAAACACCUUUCCUAAAGAGGAGCAAAAUUAAGAAUUCUAUUCAACUUCUCCCAAAAACUUUGCAUUAAGAAAAGAGUGGAAUGAAAUAUUUAAAACAUCAAGGGAAAAACCUCACCAACCUAGAAUUCUGUACCCUGCAAAAUUAUCCUUGCAAAGAGAAGGAAAAAUAAAGAUUUUCUCAGACAAACAAAUAUUGAGAAAAUGCAUUGCCAGUAGAUCUGCCUUAGAAGAAAUCACUGAAACUGAAACCAGGAAAUCAAUAGAGAAAACAGACCCCAAACCUGGAUUUCUGAGCUCACUAAAGUUAGCCUCUGUCCAGGCUAACUAUGAAAAAAAGUGGAGAGGACAUAAAUUCCUCAUGUCAGAGAUAAAAGAUAGAUAUCACUUCAAACCUCAGAGACAUUAGAAGUGUAAUAAAAGACUAUUAUGUACAACUUUAUGCCCACAAGUUUGAU